RNA transcript from Gadus morhua (Atlantic cod), 2416 nucleotides. It is a transcript of the gene named sodium- and chloride-dependent betaine transporter, with no coding region annotated. The record is from RefSeq and is a predicted model, not a curated record. NCBI's taxonomy places the organism in Eukaryota, Metazoa, Chordata, Actinopteri, Gadiformes, Gadidae. The transcript is spliced from 15 exons.
AGAAGGUGCGCUCGUGCUGCUGUUACCUCGGGUAGGGAUAGCUCGGGAGAAAUGAACAGACCAGGGGUUAUGUUUAUGUCAAGGGGGCUAAAAUAAAUCCUCUGUCGCCUCCAGGUAAAGCAGUUGAGAAUGUCAGUGUACCGCCCACAAUCAGACAGACGGGCGCGUUGAGUGGACUGCCGAAUACAUCUCUCUUUAAUUUAACAAUGCUGUUGAAGCUGUUUGUAACACCUGCAUAACUUGUUCUACUGUGCAUGAAGAAUCUGCAAACAGCCUGGACAAGGCACAUGGACACUGUGUAGUCUGGUGGGCAGUCUUUCGUUAUCGUGUUUGUUUUGAGUCUAACGAUGGAGAGAGAGCAAUGGACGCACAAGCGCGAGUAUAUUCUGGCUAUGGCCGGGAACAUGGUCGGUCUGGGCAACGUCUGGAGAUUCCCCUAUCUCUGCUACAAGAACGGUGGAGGUGUGUUCUUGCUGCCUUACUGUGUGUUAGCUCUUCUGUCUGGUGUUCCCCUUUUCUUGAUGGAGAACGCGCUGGGCCAGUUCACCCAGGAGGGAACCAUCACCUGCUGGAAGAAGCUAUGCCCGCUGCUAGAGGGGGUUGGCUAUGCCAUUAUGGUGAUCCGGACAUAUUCAACAAUAUAUCUGGUUAUACUAGCGUAUUCGCUCUUCUACCUGCUCUCCUCCUUUGCCUCCGUGCUGCCAUGGACCACUUGCAGCAACGACUGGAACACAGAUGGUUGUGUGGAGUUGACGACUCCGAACAUGACCAGCCAACACUACGCUGAAUUCGGUGUCAACUCGACAUCUAAGGCGCCGAACAAUUCUGCAGUGAUGGAGUUCUGGGAGAGGCGUGUGCUCUCCAUGUCCGGGGGGAUCGAGGAGUUGGGGUCCGUCCAGUGGGAGCUGUGCGCCUGUCUCCUGGCCUGCUGGUUGGCCUGCUACUUCUGCAUAUGGAAGGGAGUCAAGUCCACUGGAAAGGUUGUGUAUGUCACGGCGGUGUUCCCCUACGUGAUGCUGGCCAUCCUGCUGGUCCGGGGCUUGACUCUACCCGGAGCUUGGCAGGGGGUGGUCUACUACCUGAGGCCAGACUUCACCCGUCUCACACGCCUGCAGGUGUGGAUCGAGGCUGGAACCCAGGUGUUCUACUCCUACGGUGUGGCUGCAGGCACCAUCAACACCCUGGGGAGCUACAACAAGAAGAAUAACAACUGUUACAAGGACAGUCUUUGGCUCUGUGCUCUGAACAGCGCCACCAGUUUCGUUGCUGGGUUUGCCGUCUUCUCUAUCCUUGGAUUCAUGGCACAUCAACAGGAUGUCACCAUGGACAAUGUGGUGGAAUCUGGCCCUGGUUUAGCGUUCAUAGCGUUUCCCCAAGCUGUGGCUAUGAUGCCUGUUCCUCAGUUGUGGGCGGUCUGCUUCUUCAUCAUGCUCAUCAUGCUGGGCCUGGACACACUGUUUGCCGGCCUGGAGACCAUUGUGUCCAGCGUCAGCGACCUGUUCCCCAGGCAGAUGAGGCAGCCGUGGCGCAGGGAAAUGUUCCUCGCCGUUUUCUGUCUCGUCUCCUUCCUCGUGCAGAUCUUGCUCGUCACAGAGGGAGGAAUCUAUGUGUUCCAGCUUCUGGACUACUAUGGCGGCAACGGAGCGUGUCAGCUCUGCGUGGCCCUGGCUGAGUGUGUCGCUGUGGGCUGGGCCUUCGGUGCUGACAGAAUGUGUGACGCCAUCAAAGACAUGGGUGGACAGAGGCCUUGCAUUCUCUUCAAAUACUGCUGGCUCUACAUCACUCCCCUGCUCUGCCUGAAAUAGUUGUAUAAAUGUAUUUUGGAAACCAAGCUGAAAGCUCUAAUGGACAGAGUCUCAAAGCGAGGGCUAGCUUCAUUCACUAUACUGUGGAAAGCGAACCGCUGACCUCCAACCGGGGCCACGAGUUCCCCGGCUGGGCCUAUGGUCUGGGAUGGGUCAUGGCUUUUUCCUCGGUCUUCAUGAUCCCUCUAUGGGCGAUACUGAACAUAUGUCGCACAAAGGGUAGCCUGCGCGAGCGCCUGUCCAUCCUUUGUCGGCCUGUAGAGGAGGAGUAUUCAGCAGGCCUUCCAUGCCAAACAGAGAUGGGGGGCCCUUUCUUGCAUCCGGCGCAAUUGAAAUAAUCCCUGCGCAUGUGACGUUGCUCUUCUGCAACUGGCGCAGAGCGUUCUUUCCCUCCUGCGUCACACGUCUGUAAAUUAGGGAAUGAUCUUGCGCCCCAAGGGGCGGUUCGGUGAAAGGAGGAGGCAUGUUCUGGCGCAAACGUUCCCUGAUGCUAUUUUGCAGUUUCAGAAACCACUUGCGCCACAAACCAGGAAAUACCUGGUUUAAAGUCAGUGGCGCAUUGUUCAGAUGCUAUUUUAAGGGCGCAUGCAUAAUGUUGCUUGUGUACCUCG